GCUGCUCCAGGCCUCUGAGCCCCUGCUUACCUGCCCGAGAUUGACCAACUCGCGGGAGCUCCUAGGAAUGCCCCCUCUACUCCCACCCCUUGCUCACCUGAACAAGCCUAAACUCUUCCCAAUAGCUCCAGUUUAGCCCCCUAGACUCCAAGCUCCUGCUCACCUGCCCAAGCUCUAAUUACUCCCAGGGGCUCCCAGGACUGCCCCCUGCACUCCCAGCCCCUGUUCACCUCCGCAAGCUCUACCAGAUUCAGGAGUUGCUAGGACGGCUCCCUACCCUCCCACCCCCUGCUCACCUGCACAAGCUCUACCUGCUCCCAAGAGGUCCCAGGGAUGCUCCCUGCCCUCCCAGCCCCUGCUCACCUGCCUGGGCUCUACCGGCUCGCAAGGGCUCCCAGGACUGACCCUUGCCCUCCCACCCCCUGCUCGCCUGCACAAGCCUAACCUCUUCCCAAUAGCUCCAGGUUUAGCCCCCUGCCCUUCAGCCCCUGCUUGCCUGCACAAGCUCUUCUUGACCCAGUAACUCCAGGUUCAUUCCACUGCCCUACCAGCUCGUUCUCACCUGCCCAAGGUCUAUUGCUCCCAGGGCUGCCCCCUGCCCUCCCAGCCACUGCUCAUCUGCACAAGCUCUACCAGUUCUGAGGAGCUCCAGGUUCAGCCCCCUGCCCUCCCACCCCUGCCCACCUGCACAAGCUCUACCUGCUCGCAGGAGUUCCCAGGACUGCUCCCUACCCUCCCACCCCCUGCUCACCUGCACAAGCUCUACCUGCUCCCAGGAGUUGCUAGGACUGCUCCCUGCCCGCCCAGCCCCUGCUCACCUGCCUGGGCUCUACCGGCUCGCAAGGGCUCCCAGGACUGACCCUUGCUCUCCCACCCCCUGCUUGCCUGCACAAGCCUAACCUCUUCCCAAUAGCUCCAGGUUUAGCCCCCUGCCCUCCAGCCCCUGCUCACCUGCACCUCACCUGCACAAGCUCCUCCUGCUCCCAGGAACUGCAGGUUCUUCCCCUGCCCUACCAGUUUGUGCUCACCUGCCCAAGAUCUACAGCUCUCAGGUGGUCCCAGGGCUGCCCCCUGCCCUCCCAGCCCCUGCUCAUCUGCACAAGCUCUACCAGUUCCGAGGAGCUUCAGGUUCAGCCCCCUUGCCCUCCCAACCCCUCCUCACCUGCACCAGCUCUA
Molecule: long non-coding RNA, 1176 nt
Filed under: Sus scrofa (pig)
Lineage: Eukaryota; Metazoa; Chordata; Mammalia; Artiodactyla; Suidae
Description: lncRNA (ENSSSCG00025058199.1)
Source: RNAcentral